This 486-nucleotide ribosomal RNA is filed under the name uncultured bacterium. RNAcentral's name for it is "partial 16S ribosomal RNA". It matches the Rfam family "Bacterial small subunit ribosomal RNA", at positions 28 to 523 of the family's 1533-position model. The record is from RNAcentral.
GAUGAACGCUGGCGGCGUGCUUAACACAUGCAAGUCGAACGAUGAAGCCCAGCUUGCUGGGUGGAUUAGUGGCGAACGGGUGAGUAACACGUGAGUAACCUGCCCUUGACUCUGGGAUAAGCGCUGGAAACGGAGUCUAAUACCGGAUACGACCUGCCCCGGCAUCGGGUGCGGGUGGAAAGUUUUUCGGUAAAGGAUGGACUCGCGGCCUAUGAGCUAGUUGGUGAGGUAAUGGAUCACCAAGGCGACGACGGGUAGCCGGUCUGAGGGGGUGACGAGCCACACUGCGACUGAGACACGGCCCAGACUCCUACGGGAGGCAGCAGUGGGGAAUAUUGCACAAUGGGCGAAAGCCUGAUGCAGCUACGCCGCGUGGGGUAUGACGGCCUUCGGGUUGUAAACCUCUUUUAGUAGGAAAGAAGGGCUUCGGCUUGACGGUACCUGCAGAAAAAGCACCGGCUAACUACGUGCCAGCCGCCGCCGUAA